ACGUUUAUUUGCCUUGCCAUCCAGGUCUCCACUUGGUGAUUAUGGUACGUUUAUUUGCCUUGCCAUCCAGGUCUCCACUUGGUGAUUAUGUUACGUUUAUUUGCCUUGCCAUCCAGGUCUCCACUUGGUGAUUAUGUUACGUUUAUUUGCCUUGCCAUCCAGGUCUCCACUUGGUGAUUAUGUUACGUUUAUUUGCCUUGCCAUCCAGGUCUCCACUUGGUGAUUAUGUUACGUUUAUUUGCCUUGCCAUCCAGGUCUCCACUUGGUGAUUAUGUUACGUUUAUUUGCCUUGCCAUCCAGGUCUCCACUUGGUGAUUAUGUUACGUUUAUUUGCCUUGCCAUCCAGGUCUCCACUUGGUGAUUAUGUUACGUUUAUUUGCCUUGCCAUCCAGGUCUCCACUUGGUGAUUAUGUUACGUUUAUUUGCCUUGCCAUCCAGGUCUCCACUUGGUGAUUAUGUUACGUUUAUUUGCCUUGCCAUCCAGGUCUCCACUUGGUGAUUAUGUUACGUUUAUUUGCCUUGCCAUCCAGGUCUCCACUUGGUGAUUAUGUUACGUUUAUUUGCCUUGCCAUCCAGGUCUCCACUUGGUGAUUAUGUUACGUUUAUUUGCCUUGCCAUCCAGGUCUCCACUUGGUGAUUUUGUACGUAUGUAUUAGAUUUUCUGUAGCUGCUCAUUGAUAUCAAAUUAUUUGAGGUUUUUUAAGUAGGUCACUGUAAUUAUGUCUACGGCCACCGUGAAUCCUGUACGUAAUGGUCAAAUGGGUGGGUAUUCCAACAGUUUUCAAGGUCAUCUUUUUUAUUUUAUUAUUUUUAUUGUUACCUAGAUUUGUAUGUAUAUAAUCCUUUAUGAUGAUAUGUACAUCUGUGGUUAAUUAUGAUUGACUAUUCACAAAAGUGAAUUGAAUUGUUUCCACACCCACCAUGGGUCAUGUGCAUAAUGGUCAUGUGAGGUGAAAUGUGUAUAUUUUAGUCUGUUUGACCUGAUUUUAGUCUGUUUGACCUGACGAAGAUCUGAUUCGGAUCAAAACGUUGUCAGUAAAGUGGUGAAUUGGGAGCUUAAACAGCCUUCCUGUUCCUCACCAGACUGUUCCCACAACCUAAUGAAGCAUUCUGUGAACCUUUAAAGAACAGGCAAAAUGUCUUGCUGGAAUGUUCUUGCAACAACAGUCAAAUGUUUUAUACAAACAUUCUAUAAUCACCGCCACGAAUGGAGAGUUUUUGUGUUAUGAGAACAUUGGCCGCGACCUAACGAAUGUUCUGGGAACUUUCACAGAAUCAAUUUUGGUUUGCUGGGAAAAUAUUACUGGCACAUUGUGUUAUUACAUUACCUGUAAACCUAAUGAGAUUCUUUGGGGAAUGUUCUGUGGUGGUUGUUAAAAAUGUUGUGCACAACAUUUUAGUGAAUGUCAGGAGAACAUUCUAAGGAUAUUUAAUUUAAAACAUUUUUGGAAAAUUAUUAAUUAUUAAUUUUGUUAUCUCUGAAUUGCUGUGAUGGACCGUGAGGGAUUCUAAAUACUGGCCAGCAAUUAACAGCAGACCUUUGAUUUGCAUUGUUCUUCUUCCUAACUUAAUAUGUUUCCCAGACACCAGUCCCUUGGCUGCUGACCUUCCAGAAAAACAGCCAAUAUGGCGGAAACAGUUUGUGUUUGAGAAGGAAUUUAUUCAUGAAGUGCAGCUGGUAAUAGCAGUAUAUACAGUAUUGACAGAACUAGAGAAAGUACAUGCUUUUUCCACUAUAUGUCCCUUCAGUUUGCCCAUGAUACCCGAACAAGCGUCUGCCACCUCAAAACCAAGUGAUCUUCAAGGGGAUUACGCUACUGAAUAUUUAUAAGAAGUGUUACUCUUACUAGAAUAAAGAAUAUUGAUAAGAAAUUGUAAAGGCACCCACCAUAUACCACCCACCACUGCGACCUGUAUGCUCUAGUCGGCUGGCCCUCGCUACAUAUUCAUCGCCAGACCCACUGGCUCCAGGUCAUCUAUAAGUCUAUGUUAGGUAAAACUCCACCUUAUCUCAGUUAACUGGUCACGAUAACAACACCCACCUGUAGCACACGUUCCAGCAGAUAUAUCUCACUGAUCAUCCCCAAAGCCAACACCUAAUUUGGCUGCCUUUCCUUCCAGUUCUCUGCUGGCAGUGACUGGAACGAAUUGCAAAAAUCGCUGAAGUGGGAGACUUUUAUUUCCCUCACCAACUUUAAACAUCAGCUAUCUGAGCAGCUAACCGAUCGCUGCAGCUGUACAUAGUCCAUCUGUAAAUAGCCCACCCAAUCUACCUACCUCAUCCCCAUACUGUUUUUAUUUUAUUUUCUGCUCUUUUGCACACCAGUAUUUCUACUUGCACAUCAUCAUCUGCUCAUUUAUCACUCCAGUGUUAAUCUGCUAAAUUGUAAUUAUUUGCUCCUAUGGCCUAUUUAUUGCCUACCUCCUCAUGCCUUUUGCACACACUGUAUAUAGACUUUCUUUUUUCUACUGUGUCAUUGACUUGUUUGUGUUAUUAGCUUGUUUAUUGUUUACUCCAUGUGUAACUCUGUGUUGUUGUCUGUGUCACACUGCUUUGCUUUAUCUUGGCCAGGUCGCAGUUGCAAAUGAGAACUUGUUCUCAACUAGCCUACCUGGUUAAAUAAAGGUGAAAUAAAAAAAAUUAAAACCUAGUGUUUAGAGCGUUGGGCCAGUAACCGAAAGAUUACUAGAUCGAAUCCCUGAGCUGACAAGGUAAAAAUCUGUUGUUCUGCCCCUGAACAAGGCAGUUAACCCACUGUUCCUAGGCCGUCAUUGUAAAUAAGAAUUUGUUCUUAACUGACUUGACCAGUUAAAUAAAGGAACAUGUAAAAACAUAUAUGGAUGGCUUAGUACAGGUGUAAACCAUUAACCAGGCUAUUUGCUCAUGAUUCAAUAGAAAGGGCAACCGAUUUGCUGCUCUGUAUGGGAUUUAUGCCUUUUCAAGAGGUUGCUGAGAACCUACAGUAAUUACUUAAACUCACAAUGCCUUUUAGGUUUGUAAAGCCAUGGUGAAUAUAUUAAAGCAUACAGUACACGUCCAACAGUUCCUCUCUUUCAUCCUGCUAACAGAGCCUAACAAGAAACCCUUUGAUAGAAGCAAGGAGACAUCCACAUGUAAUUAUAUUUGAUCAUGUUUGCAUAUGUCACUCCCACAGUCUCUGUCACGCUCUGCGAUUUGGCUGCUCUCUCUGAUCCUUUUGGAGACCCUUCCUAGCUCCUAAUCCAAAAGUUGAUUUCAACCCCUUUUCUCUCUCUUUCCUUUUUUCAGUAUGUAGAAGAAGAAACAGAUGCAUUGGAAGAGUAGAAUCAGACAUCCUGUCUCAUUUAUCUGGAAGAGAGAGAUAAGUGAGCACCCCGCCUCUCUCAGGGAACGCACAUUAACCGUGCCUUGAAGGCUCCCUCUGCUAUGUGUGGAGGGGGGAGAGAAGGGAGCGGGGGAAGGGAGUGAGUGUCUGUCUGUUGGCCGUAAGCACACAGAUUUUUAGAAAACUCACUUAGAAAACGGAGAAAAUGUCCCCAUCGCAUGCUCUCUAGCUCACCCCAGCUCUGACGCUAUGUCAAUAGUGAGACAACGCCUGAUGCUUUACCAUGUUUUUCAAGUGUGAUGUGCGAUGCUAUCCAGAGGUGAAGGACUGACAAGUCUGAGACGUGUAAACUUGUGUCCGACAGUAACUCAUGACCCUGUUACUGAAGUCUGGCGGAGAUACUACACAAAAACAUAAUAAAAAGACAGUUCACUUUUUUCUUGGCAUGUCUUACAUGACUAAAAUCAACCAUCCUUGAUUUGUUUCUCGGUUAACUGCCGCCCCACGACUUGGUUCUGCUAUAAAGCUGAGGGAUGGGGCUGGAUAAAUUAAUUAAGGAUUGUGCCUUUAAUGUAUGGACAUCUUCAUAGUAUCUGUGUGACAAGGAAAAUCAAUGAGGACAAUACAAAAGUAUGCAGCAAAAGAAACAAUUUAUUUGGAAUAUGCAUUACUAGUACAAAGAAAGAGACGAUAAAAACUACACCUUGUUAGCUAAUUUUUUCUCCACAGAAAAACGGGUUUAAAUAGGAAUUAAAAAGACAAUAGUUUUGCGGUUUCCAUUUUUAUACCUUCUUUACAUUUGUAGAGAUCUUAAAAGUUCAAACCUGUCAAGUAAAAGGCUCCACGAUUUCACUCUGAAAUCUUUAUAAAAAAAUAACAUUCAAAAACACUGCAGUACGGUAUUUUAUUAAAGAACAAAAUACAUGCAACAAAGAAAACAUUUGAUGUUGACAAAAUGUUACAGUUUCUUAUUUCUUUUUAUAGUAAUUUUUUCCUUUUAUAUUCAGAAACGUAAAGCAUCAUUACAUGACGCUUUCAAUAAUACGGAGAUAUUGGACAGGCAAUGUGAAAAGUAGAGUAAUGUUUUUUUUUAGGGGCACUGCAUCACAAAAGCUAUUGUUCUGCUGGCCACAUGGCUAAAAUGAUCAACAACUAAAAACAAACAUCUGGAUGGAAAGGCCAGGGAACACCACUCCAACAUAGUCCACUCAUAAGGUACACAUGUCUGUCAACUGAAAAGAUAUUCUGCUUCACUCAUCAUAGUACACAUCCACGUCUUCAAAAAUGAUAUCAAAUAUAAAAUGUACUGUUUCUGAAAGAAGGACUAUGGUGGAUUCAGCUGUGUGGUAUUGUAGUUACACUGUAUCAUGUAUAUCUGUUACCAUGGUAUACGGAUUUGGUUGGAC
Molecule: long non-coding RNA, 4711 nt
Organism: Oncorhynchus keta (chum salmon)
Lineage: Eukaryota; Metazoa; Chordata; Actinopteri; Salmoniformes; Salmonidae
Exons: 4
Source: RefSeq, a predicted model, not a curated record